Molecule: ribosomal RNA, 415 nt
Filed under: uncultured bacterium
Lineage: Bacteria
Description: bacterial SSU rRNA
Rfam family: Bacterial small subunit ribosomal RNA
Source: RNAcentral
CAGUUGGGAAUCUUGCACAAUGGGGGAAACCCUGAUGCAGCGACGCCGCGUGGAGGAUGACGGAUCUAGGUCUGUAAACUCCUUUUUCAUGGAAAGACUUAGGACGGUACCAUGAGAAUAAGGACCGGCUAACUACGUGCCAGCAGCCGCGGUAAGACGUAGGGUCCAAGCGUUGUCCGGAUUUACUGGGCGUAAAGAGCGCGUAGGCGGUCUGUUAAGUGUGAAGUGAAAUCUCCAGGGCUCAACCCGGAAACUGCUUCGCAUACUGGCAGACUUGAGGAAUGCAGAGGUUUGUGGAAUUCCCGGUGUAACGGUGAAAUGUGUUGAUAUCGGGAGGAACACCCAUGGCGAAGGCAGCAAACUGGGCAUUAUCUGACGCUGAGGCGCGAAAGCGUGGGUAGCAAACAGGAUUAGA